This 468-nucleotide ribosomal RNA is filed under the name uncultured bacterium. RNAcentral's name for it is "partial 16S ribosomal RNA". It matches the Rfam family "Bacterial small subunit ribosomal RNA", at positions 28 to 507 of the family's 1533-position model. The record is from RNAcentral.
GACGAACGCUGGCGGCGUGCUUAACACAUGCAAGUCGAACGGAAAGGCCCUGCUUUUGUGGGGUGCUCGAGUGGCGAACGGGUGAGUAACACGUGAGUAACCUGCCCUUGACCUUGGGAUAACUUCAGGAAACUGGGGCUAAUACCGGAUAGGAGCUCCUGCUGCAUGGUGGGGGUUGGAAAGUUUCGGCGGUUGGGGAUGGACUCGCGGCUUAUCAGCUUGUUGGUGGGGUAGUGGCUUACCAAGGCUUUGACGGGUAGCCGGCCUGAGAGGGGGACCGGCCACAUUGGGACUGAGAUACGGCCCAGACUCCUACGGGAGGCAGCAGUGGGGAAUAUUGCACAAUGGGCGGAAGCCUGAGGCAGCAACGCCGCGUGCGGGAUGACGGCCUUCGGGUUGUAAACCGCUUUCGCCUGUGACGAAGCGUGAGUGACGGUAAUGGGUAAAGAAGCACCGGCUAACUACGUG